This 282-nucleotide unclassified non-coding RNA is filed under the name plant metagenome. Its description in RNAcentral is "partial contains small subunit ribosomal RNA, internal transcribed spacer 1, and 5.8S ribosomal RNA". The record is from RNAcentral.
UUUCCGUAGGUGAACCUGCGGAAGGAUCAUUGUCGAAACCUGCCCAGCAGAACGACCCGCGAACUUGUAUAAACAACCGGGGGCGGGGGGCGUUCUCGCCCCGUGCCCCCGAACGGCGGGGAGACACUCGUGCCUUCCUGCCGAACAACGAACCCCGGCGCGGUCUGCGCCAAGGAACUUCAACUAAAGAGUGCCUCCGGUCGCCUCGGAAACGGCGUGCGUGCCGGGGGCGAAUCUUGUGCAAAACCAUAACGACUCUCGGCAACGGAUAUCUCGGCUCUC